Molecule: ribosomal RNA, 1861 nt
Filed under: Chlorobistus sp. WS208
Lineage: Eukaryota; Metazoa; Arthropoda; Insecta; Phasmatodea; Aschiphasmatidae
Description: partial 28S ribosomal RNA
Rfam family: Eukaryotic large subunit ribosomal RNA
Source: RNAcentral
AGUAGCUGCGAGCGAACAGGGAAGAGCCCAGCACCGAAUCCCGCAGGCCUGGCCUGUAGGGAAAUGUGGUGUUAGGGAGGACCCACUUAUCCUGGGUUGUCAUGGCGAGUCCAAGUCCAUCUUGAAUGGGGCCACAGCCCAGAGAGGGUGCCAGGCCCGUAGUGACCGCUGUGCAGCUCGGGAGGGUCUCUCCUCAGAGUCGGGUUGCUUGAGAGUGCAGCCCUAAGUGGGUGGUAAACUCCAUCUAAGGCUAAAUAUGACCACGAGACCGAUAGCGAACAAGUACCGUGAGGGAAAGUUGAAAAGAACUUUGGAGAGAGAGUUCAAGAGUACGUGAAACCGUUCAGGGGUAAACGGGAGAAAUCCUGAAUUCGAAUGGGACUGAGGAUUCAGGGUCAUCUGGUUGUGCCAGGCUUGCUUGCCCCACCAGAUGUUGCUGGUCGCCCGCUGCGAUUCGCGUCGUGUGCGGUGUCGUUCCCGGCGAUCACUCGGUGGGGUGCUUGCUCUGCCUUCUGGGGUCUUGCACUUCCUCCCUAGUAGAAACGUCGCGACCCGUUGGGUGUCGGUCAAAGGCCUGGGAAGGCAGCCCGUGCAUCCUGCGUUGUGUACGCAGGUGUGCGGACUCUCGGUGUCCCGGCCGGCUGCUCGACGGUAUGAUCAGAGGAGUCGAUCCGCUGAAAUGGAAGCACUAUGGUUGUGUAGCGUCCGGCCUGGCGCCGACGCGUGUGGGGUGGUGGUCUCGGCUGCAGGUAACCGUGCUCUGCACGGUCCUGACCCCACUGCGUUGUCGGUUUGCUGGUGUCCUUGGACUGGAUCGCCACUCCCGUCAGCGACGCCCAAUCUUCGGAUGGUCUCCCGACCCGUCUUGAAACACGGACCAAGGAGUCUAACAUGUGCGCGAGUCAUUGGGUGUGAAACCUAAAGGCGCAAUGAAAGUGAAGGCCGCUAUGGUGGGCGGCCGAGGGAAGAUGGUACUGGAAGUCAUGGAUCCUGGUGGUUCAUGUCCGGCCCGCAUUCCCGGGGCGUCUCAAUGGGUGAGACCUCCGGCUUGCUUGGGUUGUGAAGCCGGAGGCGGAUCUUGAGUGCCAAGUGGGCCACUUUUGGUAAGCAGAACUGGCGCUGUGGGAUGAACCAAACGCCGAGUUAAGGCGCCUGAAUCGACGCUCAUGGGAAACCAUGAAAGGCGUUGGUUGCUUAAGACAGCAGGACGGUGGCCAUGGAAGUCGGAAUCCGCUAAGGAGUGUGUAACAACUCACCUGCCGAAGCAACUAGCCCUGAAAAUGGAUGGCGCUGAAGCGUCGUGCCUAUACUCGGCCGUCAGUGGCAUUGGGAGUGGUCGGCACCUCGGUGUCGGCGCUCGAAGAAGCCCUGACGAGUAGGAGGGUCGCGGCGGUGAGCGCAGAAGGGCAGUGGCGUGAGCCUGCCUGGAGCCGCCGUCGGUGCAGAUCUUGGUGGUAGUAGCAAAUACUCCAGAGAGGCCCUGGAGGACUGAUGCGGAGCAGGGUUUCGUGUGAACAGCCGUUGCACACGAGUCAGUCGAUCCUAAGCCCUAUGUGAAAACUGAUGCCGAUGGGUGGUCGAAAGUGUGUUGGCCGAUACCCCCGGCGGGCGAAAGGGAAUCCGGUUCCUAUUCCGGAACCCGGCAGCGGAACCGUUCCGAUUCGGGCCCUCGCGAGAGUGUUCGUCGGGGUAACCCAAAAGGACCCGGAGACGCCGACGGGAGAUCUGGGGAGAGUUUUCUUUUCUGUAUGAGCGUUCGAGUUCCCUGGAAUCCUCUAGCAGGGAGAUAGGGUUUGGGACGCGAAGAGCACCGCAGUUGCGGCGGUGUCCAGAUCUUCCCCUCGGACCUUGAAAAUCCGGG